AUCCUUUUGUAGUUCAUAAGCGUGAUGAUUGGGUUUUCAUGCACAUGCGUGAGAUAUGCCUCCCUCAAACCUUGUGACGACAUCAGCACCUUACCAGUCUGAUG
RNAcentral lists this small nucleolar RNA (104 nucleotides) under Microcebus murinus (gray mouse lemur). RNAcentral's name for it is "Small nucleolar RNA U13 (ENSMICG00000042400.1)". It matches the Rfam family "Small nucleolar RNA U13". The record is from Rfam by way of RNAcentral. Lineage: Eukaryota; Metazoa; Chordata; Mammalia; Primates; Cheirogaleidae.